GCCAGUGUUGCUAAGUGGUUAUAGCAUCAGCCUGUGCACUGAAGGGUCACAGGUUUGAUUCCUGUUAAGGGCC
Myotis davidii is the source of this 73-nucleotide non-coding RNA. The record is from Rfam. NCBI's taxonomy places the organism in Eukaryota, Metazoa, Chordata, Mammalia, Chiroptera, Vespertilionidae.